RNAcentral lists this ribosomal RNA (559 nucleotides) under Didymella aurea. Its description in RNAcentral is "eukaryotic LSU rRNA". It matches the Rfam family "Eukaryotic large subunit ribosomal RNA", at positions 38 to 600 of the family's 3401-position model. Lineage: Eukaryota; Fungi; Ascomycota; Dothideomycetes; Pleosporales; Didymellaceae. The record is from RNAcentral.
GCAUAUCAAUAAGCGGAGGAAAAGAAACCAACAGGGAUUGCCCUAGUAACGGCGAGUGAAGCGGCAACAGCUCAAAUUUGAAAUCUGGCGUCUUCGGCGUCCGAGUUGUAAUUUGCAGAGGGCGCUUUGGCAUUGGCAGCGGUCCAAGUUCCUUGGAACAGGACGUCACAGAGGGUGAGAAUCCCGUACGUGGUCGCUAGCCUUUACCGUGUAAAGCCCCUUCGACGAGUCGAGUUGUUUGGGAAUGCAGCUCUAAAUGGGAGGUAAAUUUCUUCUAAAGCUAAAUACUGGCCAGAGACCGAUAGCGCACAAGUAGAGUGAUCGAAAGAUGAAAAGCACUUUGGAAAGAGAGUUAAAAAGCACGUGAAAUUGUUGAAAGGGAAGCGCUUGCAGCCAGACUUGCCUGUAGUUGCUCAUCCGGGUUUUUACCCGGUGCACUCUUCUACGGGCAGGCCAGCAUCAGUUUGGGCGGUUGGAUAAAGGUCUCUGUCAUGUACCUCUCUUCGGGGAGAACUUAUAGGGGAGACGACAUGCAACCAGCCUGGACUGAGGUCCGCGC